UGGCUCAUUUGGUAGAGCAUGAGACUCUUGAUCUUGGGGUUGUGAGUUCAAGUCCCAC
RNAcentral lists this transfer RNA (58 nucleotides) under Felis catus (domestic cat). It matches the Rfam family "tRNA", at positions 8 to 63 of the family's 71-position model. From Rfam's summary of the family: Transfer RNA (tRNA) molecules are approximately 80 nucleotides in length. The record is from Rfam by way of RNAcentral. Lineage: Eukaryota; Metazoa; Chordata; Mammalia; Carnivora; Felidae. RNAcentral also lists the same sequence under 4 other names.